RNAcentral lists this signal recognition particle RNA (107 nucleotides) under Candidatus Campylobacter infans. RNAcentral's name for it is "Campylobacter sp. CGEMS bacterial signal recognition particle RNA (4.5S RNA)". It matches the Rfam family "Bacterial small signal recognition particle RNA". From Rfam's summary of the family: The signal recognition particle (SRP) is a universally conserved ribonucleoprotein involved in the co-translational targeting of proteins to membranes. Archaeal SRP consists of a 7S RNA and homologues of the eukaryotic SRP19 and SRP54 proteins. Lineage: Bacteria; Pseudomonadati; Campylobacterota; Epsilonproteobacteria; Campylobacterales; Campylobacteraceae. The record is from RNAcentral.
GCCUUUUCUUAGACCUGUGCAAGGCUUAUUUUAAGCAGAGCUUCAGGGUGGGAACACAGCAGAGCACUUAGUUUAGGUUUGUGCCGCAGUUAUCUGAGAAAGGGUUU